GACGAACGCUGGCGGCGUGCCUAACACAUGCAAGUCGAACGGAGAUACGAUUUCGGUUGUAUCUUAGUGGCGAACGGGUGAGUAACGCGUGAGCAACCUGACCUUUAGAGGGGGAGGUAACACUUGGAAACAGGUGCUAAUACCGCAUAAGACCACGACCCGACAUCGGGAUGAGGUCAAAGGAGUAAUCCGCUAGAGGAGGGGCUCGCGUCCCAUUAGAUAGAUGGCGGGGUAACGGCCCACCAUGUCGACGAUGGGUAGCCGAGCUGAGAGGCUGAUCGGCCACACUGGAACUGAGACACGGUCCAGACUCCUACGGGAGGCAGCAGUGGGGAAUAUUGGGCAAUGGGCGCAAGCCUGACCCAGCAACGCCGCGUGAGGGGAAGAAGGCCUUCGGGUUGUAAACCUACUGUCCUUGGUGACGAAAAAAUAGACGGUAGCCAAGGAGGAAGCCCCGGCUAACUACGUGCCAGCAGCCGCGGUAAGAGUACUCUAU
This 496-nucleotide ribosomal RNA is filed under the name uncultured bacterium. Its description in RNAcentral is "bacterial SSU rRNA". It matches the Rfam family "Bacterial small subunit ribosomal RNA", at positions 28 to 531 of the family's 1533-position model. The record is from RNAcentral.